RNAcentral lists this ribosomal RNA (515 nucleotides) under uncultured bacterium. Its description in RNAcentral is "bacterial SSU rRNA". It matches the Rfam family "Bacterial small subunit ribosomal RNA", at positions 29 to 518 of the family's 1533-position model. The record is from RNAcentral.
ACGAACGCUGGCGGCGUGCCUAAUACAUGCAAGUCGAACGGUCUUUCUAUGGAAGCUUGCUCCACUGAGAAGAUAGUGGCGAACGGGUGAGUAACACGUGGGUAACCUGCCCAUAAGAGGGGGAUAACAUCCGGAAACGGGUAGCUAAUACCGCAUAGUUUCUUGAUCGCAUGAUCGGAAAGGAAAGACGGCCUUUGUGCUGUCGCUUAUGGAUGGACCCGCGGCGUAUUAGUUAGUUGGUGAGGUAACGGCUCACCAAGACGAUGAUACGUAGCCGACCUGAGAGGGUGAUCGGCCACAUUGGGACUGAGACACGGCCCAAACUCCUACGGGAGGCAGCAGUAGGGAAUCUUCCGCAAUGGACGAAAGUCUGACGGAGCAACGCCGCGUGAGCGAAGAAAAGGUUUUCGGAUCGUAAAACUCUGUUGUCAGAGAAGAACAAGUUGGAGAGUAACUGCUCCAGCCUUGACGGCAUCUGACCAGAAAGCCACGGCUAACUACGUGCCAGCCGCGGC